This 1047-nucleotide long non-coding RNA is filed under the name Parus major (Great Tit). Its description in RNAcentral is "lncRNA (ENSPMJG00000008778.1)". Lineage: Eukaryota; Metazoa; Chordata; Aves; Passeriformes; Paridae. The record is from RNAcentral.
UUACUGCAGGGCCAGAAGAGGAAGCAAAGCAGUAAUGCUGUUAACCCCUUUAAACGUGUUAUUUUAAUGAGUCUGACAGGUGGGUAUCAAGCCUAUGUUUAUUUCUCUGCUAUCUGAGGUACAGUGUUGAAAGAAAACAAUAGAAAAUGUAUGGGAGCCACAGCUCAGUGCUCAGACAGCUCUUGGGCUCUUUUUAAUGCCUGGGGCCAAUUAAAGCACAGUUGUUAGGCUGGGACCCUUGAUGGGAAGUAUGUUGGGGUGUGUGCAUGUACGCCUUUCGAUUUAGGAAGAUAAAAAUUAAAAAUGUGUGUUAAAGCAAGAGUUAGACUUCUUACUAGGCUGGGGAUGUGUACAUGAACUAUCACUGUGAAGUACCUUUGCAGGUGAAGUCAUGGUGGAAAUCAAAGCAGCCUGAAAAUAAAACCAGUGGGGAAGUUGCCAUAAAGCACUUUAAAAUAGUGCCUCUGUUUUAGACAAGCUGCCUCCUACAAAUUAGACAGAAGAAAAGCAAUGCACUCAGGAAAUGUGAAGUGCUACUGAUUUUCUUAGAACAAGAGGCAUGGUACCAACAGCUAUUUAAAUGUUGCAGAGCUUCAACACUCUGAGUUGAUACAUACUUGCUUUUGCUUUAAUCUGCUUAUCUUUCUUCUCCCUUUUUUGUUGUUUUAGACUUGCCUUGCUAAGUUCUCCCAGCACAUGUUUUUAGCAGCCCUAAAAUCAUAAAACUUGUGGGAAAGGCAAACAAGGAGCAAAGAUUCAUCAUUUCUCACCAGAGAAGAGCUAUGGCUGAAGCAGUCAAGGAAGGCUGGGGUUUUCUGCAUUACACAUAACUAUGUAUAUGUAAUGAGUGGUUCUAGUAUUAUGCAGAUGUUGCAAGGUGUGCUCAUACUGCUGUUUGAAGAACAUUCAGUUCUCCUCCAGUGGUGCCAUGAGCUGAAUCAAUGUCUCUGCUGCUGUGGAGUCCCUCAUGUGUCUGCGCCUGCCCUGGUUGAUGACAUCAAACCCUGUGGACACGGAAGAAUUACAAUAAUUCUUUCUGAAGGGUGA